Non-coding RNA from Hippocampus comes (tiger tail seahorse), 72 nucleotides. Lineage: Eukaryota; Metazoa; Chordata; Actinopteri; Syngnathiformes; Syngnathidae. The record is from the annotation of a RefSeq genome assembly.
UCCCUGAUGGUCUAGUGGCGAGGAUUUGGCGCUUUCACCGCCAGAGCCUGGGUUCGAUUCCCGGUCAGGGAA